Mytilus californianus (California mussel) is the source of this 3181-nucleotide long non-coding RNA. RefSeq lists it as uncharacterized. Lineage: Eukaryota; Metazoa; Mollusca; Bivalvia; Mytilida; Mytilidae. The transcript is spliced from 4 exons. The record is from RefSeq and is a predicted model, not a curated record.
UAGGUUUAAUGUAUAGUUAAAAAUUUAUGUAAAAUACUAUUUGUUCUUAAUUUCAGAUGGAAAAAAUCGUUCAACAGAAUCUGGAUCAUCUUGUUGUUUGCCAAUUUGUAGGGUUGGCCAAGAUCCAAAUACUUCUGUUCCUGAGAAUGUAGGAAGGUCUCCAGAGAAAGAAAGAGCUAAUAAAAAGAAGGAUAGGAAGCCUACUGAAGUAGUGAGACCACAACCAUCCAGACCACAACCAUCCAGGGCUCAGCAUCUAAAGACAGACAACACUGGGAGAGCAGAGUAUUCUACUGAAACUGAAAUAUAUAAGCCACGUCCGCUCCCCUCUAUAAGUCGGCCUUCUGACUCUCCAAGACCAUUGCCAAAGAGGACUCCAGAUGAUCAACUAGAGAAGGGUGGUAUUCAACUGGAACCUUUAGUUGAUUCCACUUCUGAGAAAAAGAAAAAAAAGAAAAGAAAGAAGAAGGAAUCAAAGCAAUCUGAUGAAGAGAAUUAAACUAACUCCUAACACAACCCUAUACAUGAAGCUUAAAUCUGUGAUAAAGUGAAAAUUGUUCGUUUCAUACAAAUAUUUAUCAUCAUACUUCAGUAUAAACAAGUAUUCAAUUGUCAGAUUUUAACUAAAAGGGGAAGGGGGAGUAGGGAAAGGGAGGGGGGUGGAUACAGUUUCAACUGCUAAUGUGAUAAUGAUCAUUCAAUGUCCCCUUUUUUUUAUAUGAUUACAUUGCAAAAACAGGUUCUAUUCACAGUAAGAAAUGUUUCAGAGCUUUCAAAUGAAACAGAAAGAAAUAUUUGGGUUUUUUUGUCAGCAUUACUGCUUAUUUUUCACUACAUUUCGAACUUUUUUGGGAAAAGAUAUUUUUUCUGAUUGUUGGAUAAACAGUUUUCUGCAAAAUAUCAGACAACAAUAGUCUAGUUGCCAAUUACAAUUAUGAUUGUAUUAUUAAAACAUCAGUUGUUUCUCUUUGACAAUUGUAGAUUAGUUCUAAACCAAAGUAUGAUAGGUGGAAAGUGAUAUUUUGAAGUCUUAACCAAAUUUUAAUGAAAAAUAUGGAUUGAUAUCAAAAGUUUUUAGUUUAAAAUAAGAUUAAUUGUAAUAAAAAAUUUGAAAUGUUAAGUGCAGAUAAACUUGCUCUUUCCACUAGUUUUUAAUGUCAAUGAAGAUUAUGUACCUACUAAGGGAAAUGACUCAUACUCAUGGAUUUCUACUUAAAGGGUCAAUUAUGGAAUUGGCAAAUAGAUCAUUGGGAAAACUCUUUUUAAUGGAGUAUCUAGAGGUUUCUAUAAAUUAAGCAUGGCAACAUAUUCUUUUUAUGUAUUUAUUACAAAAUGCACAAUGAAAACCAACUAAUUAAAAUUUUUUAGAAUAUUACAAAACAAGAACCGUUUAAUACCCUGUAGAAUAAAGGGCAAAAAAUCUAACAUAUUUUUGUGAGAAAGUCAAAAUUUAAUCAAGUUUUGAAUGAAAAUAAAACUGCAAAAAUGAAAAUAAUAUCAAUAUGUAGUGUUAUUUUCCACUGAUGCAUAUACAUCAGCUCUAAAUCACACCAGUUUGGCUAUUUUAUUUCCAAAUAUAACCAGUUUUAGAAUAUUUUCAAGUUGUAAGAAAAUUUCACCAAAAUUAUAAAAAUUCUCAAUUUUGAGUCCAAUUUUUCUUAAAAACAAGCACUGUAACCUAUAUUUUAUUUCAUGAUUUUUCAAAAAUAUCAUCUCUAGCUACAACAUAUUUAAAAAUAUCAAAAAUGACAAUACAAUGUGAAAGUGUAACAACUCCCUUAAUGGCUAGAUCCAUUUUUACUUUUAACUUAAAGAUGAAAUGACUACCAUGUGUUCCAAUUGUCUUGAUUUUUUUUAAACAUGCAGCUGUGUUUAAGUUCAGAAAUUGUAUUUAUAAACCAAAAUAAACACUACCUUAAAGAAUUAUUAGAGACACCUAGAUAUUUAUGACUUUGAGUAUGUGAAUGGUACAGUACAAUUUUUUAUUCAUGUUUGUUAUAUGUAUAGAAUUUUAAUGAAAAAAAUCACUUUUUAUACGACCGCAAAAAAAAUUUUGUGGUCGUAUAUUGGUAUGACGUUGGCGGCGUCGUCCGGCGUCGUCCGGCGUCGUCCGAAGACACAUUGGUUUUCGCACUCUAACUUUAGUUUAAGUGAAUGGAUCUUUAUGAAAUUUUACCACAAGGUUCAAUACCACAAAAGGAAGGUUGGGAUUGAUUUUGGGGGUUAUGGUAAUAACAGUAAAGGAAUUAGGGGCCAAAAAUAAGCAUUUUUGUAACUUCCAGACAUAACUUGUGUGUUAGUGUAUGGAUCUCUCUGACAUUGUACCACAAGGUUCCAUAUCACUAAAGGAAUGCUGGGAUUGAUUUUGGGGGUAAUUGCCUCCAAAUUUUAGGAAUUAGGGGCCAAAAAAGGGGCAAAAAACAAGCAUUUUUCUAGUUUCAUGACAAUAACUUGUGUGUAAGUGUAUGGAUCUUUCUGAAAUUGUACUACAAGGUUCCAUAUCACAAAGGGAAAGCUGGGUUUGAGUUUGGGGGUAAUUGCCCUAAACGUUUAGGAAUUUGGGGCCAAAAAGAGGCCAAAAAACACAUUUUUUUCUAGUUUCCAGACAAUAACUUGUGUUCAAGUGUAUGGAUCUCUCUGAAAUUGUACUGCAAGGUACCAUACCACAAAGGGAAGGCUGGGAUUGAGUUUGGGGGUGAUGAAUCAUAAUGGGGGUUCAAAAAAUUUUGGGGGGGGAUUUAUUUUUUUUUCCUUUUUUUUCUUUUUUUCCUUUUUUGUUUCUUUUAAAAUUUUCCAUUUUAAGUUGGUUAUUUCUGAUUUAUAUUUAAAAUCAAAUAAUAAUGAUAUGGUAGGAGAUACACACCAAACAGGAUGUGUAAAUUAUUAUAUAAUAAGUAUUGUGCAAUAGCAAGAAAUUUUCAAUUGCACAGUAUUGCACAAUAGCAAGAAAUCUUCAAUUGCACAGUAUUGCGCAAUAGCAAGAAAUCUUCAAUUGCACAGUAUUGCGCAAUAGCAAGAAAUAUCCAAUAGCACAAUAUUGCGCAAUAGCAAGAAAUUGUCAAUUGUACAGUAUUGCGCAAUAGCAAGAAAUAUUUAAUAGCACAGGAUUGUGCAAAAGAAGAUACUUCCUAUAAAUUGCUUAUUUCUUGACCAAUUUCAAUGGGGUUUUAUUCUUGAUUUC